GCGGGUUUAGCUCAGUUGGGAGAGCGUCAGACUGAAGAUUCACUUCAUUCCAUCAACAACGUGAAGGUCAUGUGUUCGAUCCACAUAAACCGCA
Non-coding RNA from Cercophora newfieldiana, 94 nucleotides. The record is from the annotation of a GenBank genome assembly. Lineage: Eukaryota; Fungi; Ascomycota; Sordariomycetes; Sordariales; Lasiosphaeriaceae.